UUGAACGCUGGCGGCAGGCCUCACACAUGCAAGUCGAGCGGAUGAAGGGAGCUUGCUCCUGGAUUCAGCGGCGGACGGGUGAGUAAUGCCUAGGAAUCUGCCUGGUAGUGGGGGAUAACGUCCGGAAACGGGCGCUAAUACCGCAUACGUCCUGAGGGAGAAAGUGGGGGAUCUUCGGACCUCACGCUAUCAGAUGAGCCUAGGUCGGAUUAGCUAGUUGGUGGGGUAAAGGCCUACCAAGGCGACGAUCCGUAACUGGUCUGAGAGGAUGAUCAGUCACACUGGAACUGAGACACGGUCCAGACUCCUACGGGAGGCAGCAGUGGGGAAUAUUGGACAAUGGGGGAGAGCCUGAUCCAGCCAUGCCGCGUGUGUGAAGAAGGUCUUCGGAUUGUAAAGCACUUUAAGUUGGGAGGAAGGGCAGUAAGUUAAUACCUUGCUGUUUUGACGUUACCAACAGAAUAAGCACCGGCUAACUUCGUG
This 483-nucleotide ribosomal RNA is filed under the name uncultured bacterium. Its description in RNAcentral is "partial 16S ribosomal RNA". It matches the Rfam family "Bacterial small subunit ribosomal RNA", at positions 30 to 507 of the family's 1533-position model. The record is from RNAcentral.